Molecule: ribosomal RNA, 768 nt
Filed under: uncultured fungus
Lineage: Eukaryota; Fungi
Description: eukaryotic LSU rRNA
Rfam family: Eukaryotic large subunit ribosomal RNA (bases 403-768)
Source: RNAcentral
AUGCCGCGUUUAACGCAAUGAAAUACAACUUUCAGCAACGGAUCUCUUGGCUCUCGCAUCGAUGAAGAACGCAGCGAAAUGCGAUAAGUAAUGUGAAUUGCAGAAUUCAGUGAAUCAUCGAAUCUUUGAACGCACCUUGCGCCCUUUGGCAUUCUGAAGGGCAUGCCUGUUUGAGUAUCAUGAACACCUCAACUCUCAUGGCUUGCCAUGAUGAGCUUGGACUUUGGGGGCUUGCUGGCUUGUGAGUCAGCUCCUCUCAAAUGGAUUAGCUCGCCAGUGUUUGGUGGCAUCACAGGUGUGAUAACUAUCUGCGCUUGUGGUUUUCCAUCAGGUAACCUUCAGCAGUGGAGGUUCACUGGAGCUCACAAUGUCUCUCCUCGGUGAGGAUAGGUUUUGACCAUUUGAUCUCAAAUCAGGUAGGACUACCCGCUGAACUUAAGCAUAUCAAUAAGCGGAGGAAAAGAAACUAACAAGGAUUCCCCUAGUAACUGCGAGUGAAGCGGGAAGAGCUCAAAUUUAAAAUCUGGCGUGCCUCUGGCCGUUCGAGUUGUAGUCUGGAGAAGCGUUUUCCGUGUCGGACCGUGUAUAAGUCUCUUGGAACAGGGCGUCAUAGAGGGUGAGAAUCCCGUCUUUGACACGGACUACCGAUGCUUUGUGAUGCGCUCUCAAAGAGUCGAGUUGUUUGGGAAUGCAGCUCAAAAUGGGUGGUAAAUUCCAUCUAAAGCUAAAUAUAGGCGAGAGACCGAUAGCGAACAAGUACCGUGAGGG